CCUACGGGGUCAGCAGUGGGGAAUAUUGCACAAUGGGGGAAACCCUGAUGCCACGACGCCGCGUGAGUGAAGAAGUAAUUCGUUAUGUAAAGCCCUAUCCGCAGGGAAGAAAAUGACGGUACCUUAGUAAGAAGCCCCGGCUAACUACGUGCCAGCCGCCGCGGUAAUACGGAGGGGGCCAGCGUUAUCCGGAUUUCCUGGGUGUAAAGGGAGCGUAGACGGCAGUGCAAGUCUGGAGUGAAAGGCAGGGGCUCAACCCCCGGACUGCUCUGGAAACUGUACGGCUGGAGUGCAGGAGAGGUAAGUGGAAUUCCUAGUGUAGCGGUGAAAUGCGUAGAUAUUAGGAGGAACACCAGUGGCGAAGGCGGCUUACUGGACUGUAACUGACGUUGAGGCUCGAAAGCGUGGGGAGCAAACAGGAUUAGAUACCCUUGUAGUC
This 439-nucleotide ribosomal RNA is filed under the name uncultured bacterium. RNAcentral describes it as "partial 16S ribosomal RNA". It matches the Rfam family "Bacterial small subunit ribosomal RNA", at positions 338 to 795 of the family's 1533-position model. The record is from RNAcentral.